This 492-nucleotide ribosomal RNA is filed under the name uncultured bacterium. Its description in RNAcentral is "partial 16S ribosomal RNA". It matches the Rfam family "Bacterial small subunit ribosomal RNA", at positions 29 to 507 of the family's 1533-position model. The record is from RNAcentral.
AGUGAACGCUGGCGGUAGGCCCAACACAUGCAAGUCGAACGGCAGCACAGUAAGAGCUUGCUCUUACGGGUGGCGAGUGGCGGACGGGUGAGGAAUACAUCGGAAUCUACUUUUUCGUGGGGGAUAACGUAGGGAAACUUACGCUAAUACCGCAUACGACCUACGGGUGAAAGCAGGGGAUCUUCGGACCUUGCGCGAUUGAAUGGGCCGAUGUCGGAUUAGCUAGUUGGCGGGGUAAAGGCCCACCAAGGCGACGAUCCGUAGCUGGUCUGAGAGGAUGAUCAGCCACACUGGAACUGAGACACGGUCCAGACUCCUACGGGAGGCAGCAGUGGGGAAUAUUGGACAAUGGGCGCAAGCCUGAUCCAGCCAUACCGCGUGGGUGAAGAAGGCCUUCGGGUUGUAAAGCCCUUUUGUUGGGAAAGAAAAGCAGCAGGUUAAUACCCCGCUGUUCUGACGGUACCCAAAGAAUAAGCACCGGCUAACUUCGUG